AGCCCUUUGGCCGACUAGGUAGUUGUUUUGAAAGCAUCGUAAGGUUGUUAAACCAACCAGGGGUUU
This 66-nucleotide transfer RNA is filed under the name Phallocryptus tserensodnomi. Its description in RNAcentral is "tRNA-Ser". Lineage: Eukaryota; Metazoa; Arthropoda; Branchiopoda; Anostraca; Thamnocephalidae. The record is from RNAcentral.